This 492-nucleotide ribosomal RNA is filed under the name uncultured bacterium. Its description in RNAcentral is "partial 16S ribosomal RNA". It matches the Rfam family "Bacterial small subunit ribosomal RNA", at positions 29 to 507 of the family's 1533-position model. The record is from RNAcentral.
AGUGAACGCUGGCGGUAGGCCUAACACAUGCAAGUCGAACGGCAGCACAGUAAGAGCUUGCUCUUACGGGUGGCGAGUGGCGGACGGGUGAGGAAUACAUCGGAAUCUACUUUUUCGUGGGGGUUAACGUAGGGAAACUUAUGCUAAUACCGCAUACGACCUACGGGUGAAAGCAGGGGAUCUUCGGGCCUUGUGUGAUUUAAUGAGCCGAUGUCGGAUUAGCUGGUUGGCGGGGUAAAGGCCCACCAAGGCGACGAACCGUAGCUGGUCUGGGAGGAACAUCCGCCACACUGGAACUGAGACACGGUCCAGACUCCAACGGAAGGCAGCAGUGGGGAAUAUUGGACAAUGCGCGCAAGCCUGAUCCAGCCAUACCGCGUGGGUGAAGAAGGCCUUCGGGUUGUAAAGCCCUUUUGUUGGGAAAGAGAAGCAGCAGGUUAAUACCCCGCUGUUCUGACGGUACCCAAAGAAUAAGCACCGGCUAACUUCGUG